AAAAUUACUAUUAGAAUUUAAUUAAAUUACUUAUUAUUUGUUCAAAUUUGACCGUUAAGAUUGAUGAAAAUUUUCAAGAUAUAGACUAAACUGUUAUAUGUUAUAUGUUAAAAUUAUUAAAUUAUUACAAAAUUGAAAGUGCUAAAGUAAAAAUUGUUACAAACCAAAGUUUAUAACAAUAAAUCAUUACAUCUAUGAAAGUUUUUAACCAAAAGAAUUCCAUUAAAUAUUGAAUAUGAACGAAAAUUUAUACGACUCAACAGUAAUUCACAUGUAUUAUGUAUUUCAGUAUCAGAGUUUCAUAUAUUCAAAUCUCCACUUAUGGUUAGAUAACAAAAUAAGAGGAUGGACUAAAAUGAUUGUUUUGAAAGUUUAGGUUCAAAUACGAAAAUGAUUGUAUUUACACAGAGAUAUUUGAGCCUCCAACUUGGAUUGAGACUUGAGUGGACUGAAAGAAAGUCCACUAUGGGGUUGAAGCAUGUGAGAAAUAGUGUGAACUAAAGAUCAUUGUAACCCUUGAAAUUCUUUUCCUACAAUGAAACUAUUUAGUGGUAAAAUAUAUUUCUCCUUUCCUCUCUGAAUGUUUCCAAUCACUCCACCCAUUAUUGACUAACUUUAACAAAAAGUAUCUUCACCCAAAGUUUUAGUGUCGAUCGUACCUCUAACAACUUUCGUGAUCAACUCUCACUCCCAAUUUCAGUAAAGACGACUGAUCUUAACGAUGGUUUUGACGAUCAUUCUGACGACCACCUUUGACGAUCACCCUCUGACAAUCACUUUAGUGGAUACCAUUUUUUAUGUCUAAUUUUGACAAUAGCUACCUCUAAGAACCACCUAUGUGACCAACCGUGAGUAUGUCAAGAGAAUUAAUGCAUGAAUAGUUUUCAAAGUUAAAAAGAUGACAUCAGUUUAUAAAAAAUUAAAA
Molecule: long non-coding RNA, 925 nt
Filed under: Cucumis sativus (cucumber)
Lineage: Eukaryota; Viridiplantae; Streptophyta; Magnoliopsida; Cucurbitales; Cucurbitaceae
Description: long non-coding RNA (CSAT_LNC002017)
Source: RNAcentral